Molecule: long non-coding RNA, 981 nt
Organism: Centruroides sculpturatus (bark scorpion)
Lineage: Eukaryota; Metazoa; Arthropoda; Arachnida; Scorpiones; Buthidae
Exons: 4
Source: RefSeq, a predicted model, not a curated record
UAUUUUUCGAUUUAUAUAAAAAUUAAAUAGAUUAAAUUAGAUACGCUUUAAACCUAUAUUUGCGGCCUGUAACCUGUAAGGUUACGGAAUGCAUUUUUAUAAUUUUAUUUAUUAUUACAAAUAUCUUAGCGAUAUUUUACAAAAAAGAGGACUAUUUUAGCAUUUUAAAGAUAACAUUUGCAAUUAGUUAAUAUUCUGACGUAGAACUUAUGACGUAACGUGUGACUCAUUUAUCGCACGUUCCACCGAUUCGAAUUCGUUCGAUUUCGUAUUGCCGACGCCAUCUUGAAAUAGAAAGUUUUAUGGAAAUUGCGAGUUAUUUUUCAAUCCAUUUCGAGAUUUUUCGUAAAUGUUUAAUUACAAAAACCCGAAUAACGCAGGCAAUAAAGAAGUAUCAUUCUCAAAUUUUAUAAUCCACUUUCCAAAGAAACAUGGAAUCAUUUUAAAAACUUCUUUGCUCAAAAAAUUAACAAAGGAAAGAUUUAACUGAUUGUGAGCACUUAAAGCCAGGAGUCGUGUGACAUCAUUUAGGCUUCUGACAUACCAAAGAGCAGCUAUGUGACAUGUAUAGGGCCUAUAUAAAAAUUACUUUGUGGAUAAUCAACUCAAUGGUUAUCUGCUCCACACACCUUCCUUUAGAAAAUGUUGAUAUUGAACUUUGUCACUGCAAUCUUUUAACAAACAUUUCCAUUAUGACAAAGAGCAUGCAACAUUUUCUUCUAUAAAUGGUCAGUGAACUACUUUACUUUACUUUUAUAUUCCCGGGACCAUUUUAAUUUUAAAUUUUGUAAAAAUUGGCAUUCAGAGUUUGAUUUGUCUUGAUGUUCAUUUUGGAGUAAUUAGCCCUAUGUUAAUUAAGCACAAUAAAAUUAGGUUCAAAUUUUCUUUAUCAUAUUUAAUGUAAUAGAGAUAACUGUAAAAACAGAUUAUAAAGUAUGAAUUAUUGUAAAAUUUAUAUUUUAAAUAAAUAAAGAUUCAUUC